This is a small nucleolar RNA of Magnolia sinica, 107 nucleotides long. NCBI's taxonomy places the organism in Eukaryota, Viridiplantae, Streptophyta, Magnoliopsida, Magnoliales, Magnoliaceae. The record is from RefSeq and is a predicted model, not a curated record.
UAGCCAUGAUGUGGGCAAGCACUUAAAAUGUCCUUGAACCUUUUCCAAUAUUAGAAGAAGGUUUCUUCCUCUUUCUGUGGGAAAUUCAUGAUGACCCUUUUAAGGGU